GAUGAAGAACGCAGCGAAAUGCGAUACGUAAUGUGAAUUGCAGAAUUCAGUGAAUCAUCGAGUCUUUGAACGCACAUUGCGCCCCCUGGUAUUCCGGGGGGCAUGCCUGUCCGAGCGUCAUUGCUGCCCUCAAGCACGGCUUGUGUGUUGGGCCUCCGUCCUCCUCCCGGGGGACGGGCCCGAAAGGCAGCGGCGGCACCGCGUCCGGUCCUCGAGCGUAUGGGGCUUUGUCACCCGCUCUGUAGGCCCGGCCGGCGCCUGCCGAUCAACCAAACUUUUUUCCAGGUUGACCUCGGAUCAGGUAGGGAUACCCGCUGAACUUAAGCAUAUCAAUAAGCGGAGGA
RNAcentral lists this unclassified non-coding RNA (344 nucleotides) under soil metagenome. RNAcentral describes it as "partial contains 5.8S ribosomal RNA, internal transcribed spacer 2, and large subunit ribosomal RNA". The stretch from base 1 to 120 matches the Rfam family "5.8S ribosomal RNA", at positions 35 to 154 of the family's 154-position model. The record is from RNAcentral.